AGAAUCAACGCUGGCGGCGUGCCUAACACAUGCAAGUCGCACGAGAAAGGGACUUCGGUCCUGAGUACAGUGGCGCACGGGUGAGUAACACGUGAAUUAUCUACCUCCGAGUGGGGAAUAACUGAGAGAAAUCUUAGCUAAUACCGCAUAACACUUACGAGUCAAAGCAGCAAUGCGCUUGGAGAGGAGUUCGCGGCCGAUUAGUUAGUUGGCGGGGUAAUGGCCCACCAAGACGAUGAUCAGUA
Molecule: ribosomal RNA, 245 nt
Filed under: uncultured bacterium
Lineage: Bacteria
Description: partial small subunit ribosomal RNA
Rfam family: Bacterial small subunit ribosomal RNA
Source: RNAcentral